Molecule: non-coding RNA, 456 nt
Organism: Hydra vulgaris (swiftwater hydra)
Lineage: Eukaryota; Metazoa; Cnidaria; Hydrozoa; Anthoathecata; Hydridae
Source: RefSeq, a predicted model, not a curated record
UGAAAUAGAAAAAUAAACAAAAUAAAUAUUUACAUUUACAUAGCUUGAUUAAACUCAAAUUUCGCGUGUCAAAGAAACUGAUUUGAUUUUUAAAAAGAAGUCGGGGAAAGCAAAAUUGGAAGAAAAAAAAUUUCUCACUAACGCUAUUCUACAGUGCUCCGAGAGUUAACCUUAAGGUUGUGUUGCAAUACUUUAUCAUAACAUCAAAAAAAGCAUAACAGCAUUUUGAAAUUUAUAUUCAGACAAACAUCGCAUAGAAAAUAAACUUUUUUAAUAUCAGCGGCUGUGAGAUCGAUAUUUGGACAAGCAAACAAGUGACUAAAACAAAGGUUAUUUUUUCAAAGAAAGAAAGAAAAAUUGAAUACUUUGGCUGAAAAUGUUUUCCUACGCGACUAUGUAAUAUAUGUAUAAUUGUUCAAAAGUUAUGAUUAUGUGAAGUUAACACUCUAACUAAAU